RNAcentral lists this ribosomal RNA (477 nucleotides) under uncultured archaeon. RNAcentral describes it as "bacterial SSU rRNA". It matches the Rfam family "Archaeal small subunit ribosomal RNA", at positions 83 to 562 of the family's 1478-position model. The record is from RNAcentral.
AACUGCUCAGUAACACGUGGACAACCUGCCCUUAGGACGGGGAUAAACCCGGGAAACUGGGUAUAAUACCCGAUAGGUCUCGAUUGCUGGAAUGCAUCGAGAUUUAAAGCUCCGGCGCCUAAGGAUGGGUCUGCGGCCUAUCAGGUAGUAGUGGGUGUAGCGUACCUACUAGCCUACGACGGGUACGGGUUGUGAGAGCAAGAGCCCGGAGAUGGAUUCUGAGACACGAAUCCAGGCCCUACGGGGUGCAGCAGGCGCGAAAACUUUACAAUGCUGGCAACAGCGAUAAGGGAACCUCGAGUGCCAGGUUACAAAUCUGGCUGUCGAGAUGCCUAAAAAGCAUUUCAUAGCAAGGGCCGGGCAAGACCGGUGCCAGCCGCCGCGGUAACACCGGCGGCUCGAGUGGUAACCGUUAUUAUUGGGUCUAAAGGGUCUGUAGCCGGCCGGAUAAGUCUCUUAAGAAAUCUGGCAGCUUAA